RNAcentral lists this ribosomal RNA (255 nucleotides) under Klebsiella pneumoniae. RNAcentral describes it as "partial 23S ribosomal RNA". It matches the Rfam family "Bacterial large subunit ribosomal RNA", at positions 1 to 256 of the family's 2925-position model. RNAcentral also lists the same sequence under 4 other names. Lineage: Bacteria; Pseudomonadati; Pseudomonadota; Gammaproteobacteria; Enterobacterales; Enterobacteriaceae. The record is from RNAcentral.
GGUUAAGCGACUAAGCGUACACGGUGGAUGCCCUGGCAGUCAGAGGCGAUGAAGGACGUGCUAAUCUGCGAAAAGCGUCGGUAAGGUGAUAUGAACCGUUAUAGCCGGCGAUGUCCGAAUGGGGAAACCCAGUGCAAUUCGUUGCACUAUCGUUAACUGAAUACAUAGGUUAACGAGGCGAACCGGGGGAACUGAAACAUCUAAGUACCCCGAGGAAAAGAAAUCAACCGAGAUUCCCCCAGUAGCGGCGAGCGA